Non-coding RNA from Fukomys damarensis (Damara mole-rat), 118 nucleotides. The record is from Rfam. NCBI's taxonomy places the organism in Eukaryota, Metazoa, Chordata, Mammalia, Rodentia, Bathyergidae.
AUCUGUAGCCAUACCGCCCUGAAAAUGCCUAGUCCCUUCUGAUCCAAAGCUAAGCAGGGUCUGGCCUGGUUAGUACUUGGAAGGGAGGCCUGAAGGUCAAUUUAAAUGUUUACUUCUU